GGCGGCGUAGCUCAGCUGGUUAGAGCGUGGGAUUCAUAAACCCAAGGUCAGCGGUUCGAGUCCGCUCGCCGCUA
This 74-nucleotide transfer RNA is filed under the name Planctomycetota bacterium. RNAcentral's name for it is "Planctomycetes bacterium tRNA-Met". It matches the Rfam family "tRNA". From Rfam's summary of the family: Transfer RNA (tRNA) molecules are approximately 80 nucleotides in length. Their secondary structure includes four short double-helical elements and three loops (D, anti-codon, and T loops). Further hydrogen bonds mediate the characteristic L-shaped molecular structure. tRNAs have two regions of fundamental functional importance: the anti-codon, which is responsible for specific mRNA codon recognition, and the 3' end, to which the tRNAs corresponding amino acid is attached (by aminoacyl-tRNA synthetases). tRNAs cope with the degeneracy of the genetic code in two manners: having more than one tRNA (with a specific anti-codon) for a particular amino acid; and 'wobble' base-pairing, i.e. permitting non-standard base-pairing at the 3rd anti-codon position. Lineage: Bacteria; Pseudomonadati; Planctomycetota. The record is from RNAcentral.